UACAGGUGUUGCAUGGCUGUCGUCAGCUCGUGUCGUGAGAUGUUCGGUUAAGUCCGCUAACGAGCGCAACCCUCGUCGUAUGUUAUAUGUGUCAUACGAGACUGCCGGUAAAAGCCGAGGAAGGUGAGGAUGAUGUCAAGUCAGCAUGACCUUUAUAUCCAGGGCUACACACACGCUACAAUGGUCUGUACAAUGGGUAGCCAAGCCGCGAGGCGGAGCCAAUCCUGAAAGCAGGCCUCAGUUCAGAUUGCAGUCUGCAACUCGACUGCAUGAAGCCGGAGUUGCUAGUAACCGCAGGUCAGCAAUACUGCGGUGAAUACGUUCCCGGGUCUU
This 333-nucleotide ribosomal RNA is filed under the name uncultured Anaerolineaceae bacterium. RNAcentral's name for it is "bacterial SSU rRNA". It matches the Rfam family "Bacterial small subunit ribosomal RNA", at positions 1033 to 1382 of the family's 1533-position model. Lineage: Bacteria; Bacillati; Chloroflexota; Anaerolineae; Anaerolineales; Anaerolineaceae. The record is from RNAcentral.